Molecule: long non-coding RNA, 199 nt
Filed under: Elaeis guineensis (African oil palm)
Lineage: Eukaryota; Viridiplantae; Streptophyta; Magnoliopsida; Arecales; Arecaceae
Description: long non-coding RNA (EGUI_LNC000183)
Source: RNAcentral
UUUUGGUAUUCAUUCUAAUGUUUACAGUAAGAUCAAGAUGGAUAAAAUGAAGAAAGAAAAAAGUGAAAGGAAAGAAGAAGAAGAAAAAGAAAAGAAAGGGAGGAAGAAGAAAGAAAGAAAGGAAAGGAGGAAGAGAUGAAAAAGAAAGAAAGAGAAAAAGAAACAAAGAAAUAAAGGAAGGGAUAAAAAAAUAAAGAAA